Molecule: long non-coding RNA, 2700 nt
Organism: Varanus komodoensis (Komodo dragon)
Lineage: Eukaryota; Metazoa; Chordata; Lepidosauria; Squamata; Varanidae
Exons: 3
Source: RefSeq, a predicted model, not a curated record
UUGAACUGCUGUUCAGUUUAUUGCUACCAAAGUUAAACUCACUUGAUCCUUCAUAAUUUGCUAUAAGCAAAAAACAUGCUGUGUAUAAUGACGACUGAAGAUUGCAGGCACUAUGAUAUAACCAAGGACAUUUGUAAUGACUUUCUUAUCUGUGCAAUGAAAUGAAAUGAUCACAAUCUUACAUGGUUUGGCAUCUGUCGUUUUCAAUAUUGAUCCAAAAGAGACCCCCUACAAAGAAAAAUCUUCCCGAUUGCAAGUGCAGCAAAUGCAAUGCAAAUAUGGGAGAAUGCAUAAAUCAUAAAUCUUUCUACUAUCUGCUUUAAGAAAACAGUAUUUUUCUCCAAGAAGCCAUUAUGCAGUUUUCUACCAAGUUUACCUUGCAGAGGAAAUCCUUAAAUCCAAAAUGUUUGAGCACAAUCCAGCUAAUGUUUGAACAUGUUUAAGCACCAUUGAUUGUAGCAGAAGUUAGGCAUAUGCUUAACUCUCUCCUAUUGGCAUGUAGGAGUGCAUAGUUCAUUGCUGAAUUGUGCAACCUAUUAUGUGCUUCGAUGGAAGACCAUCGCCCUAUUGUAUAAGGGCCAAUCGGGACAUGAUUCUAUGAUUGCAAUUAAUAGGACUGUUUUUAAGAUCUUAAGUAGAACCAGGAGUAGCAGUAGUUCUAUAACUUCUGAUUGUUUUAUUUUUUUAUCUCUCACUCAAGAUUUUGAUGCAUCAUGAUGUUUUUCUAAUGUUUCCCUGACGAUUUCUCGAUGUUUCUGUAUUUUCCUUGUGUGUGUCUAUAUUGUUCUUGCAUAUUAUCCAUUCAAAGUCUCUUUCCCCUUCCUGCCAUGCGUACAUGACACCAUUUCCAUAAAACACUCUGUGUAUGUUCUGUUUCUUCAUAGUCCGUCUUAAAAGUCUGGUGCCCCUCAGCACUGUUGUAAUUUAGGAAUAUGUGUUUGCUGUAAAUAAACUGUUGGAUGGUUGACUGCAUGCUCCCUUUUGGAUUCAGACAUUCGUUCUUUGCAGGUCUGAAAUCCUGACAUUUGCUGCCCGGGUGAUGUUUCCAGUACCAGCAUGCUGCUGCUGAAAGGGGCAGGCUUUCUACCCCAGACCUGUCACCCACCCUUCACAGCUGGGUUUUUUCGGUACCACUCACUCAGCCUGUGAUACUAAAGCAGAGCACUGUCAAAGUCAAUAACCAAAAAAACCUCACAAGGAUACUAUUAGGGAAAUGUGGCUUAAUAAUUCAAGGUUGAUUCCAAACAGAAUGCCUUUGUUCCCUUCCAAACUAAAAAGAGUUGACUUCAGGAUGGAUCCUGCUGUUUAUGGAGCCAAUCCUCUAGAAUAUGUGGUGUUUGUCAAUUCAUCCACCCUCUUAAUUUGAUGCCGUAUGAUUGAACUAAUGAUAAGUCCAGCCCCAAGUAUCAGUUUGCUCCCCAGAAUUCUUCCUCCCCAAACAUGAAAUUGUCUGGUUCUCAGUAAUGGCCUAGCUUACCUCUGGGUCCAUCAGCCUUGGUAUUUCAGUUGCAAAUCCCAGCCCUACUUCCUCUUCCAGUUCUGGAUUAGAAUUCAAGUCAAGAACCUUUAAAAGCUGUAUCAUGGAAAGAGUAGGCCCAAUACCUAUAAAAUCUUUAUGUCAAAAAGGGGGCUCCUGGUACCUGCCAGGUAGGUCUAUGGACUUGGGACAGGAAGGACACCCUUCCUGGCACCAAAUGGUUUACCCACCUAGAAUCUGUGGUCUCAGGUGGAGGUGCCUCAGGAAGGUAUCACUGCAUACUUUAAGGUGUACUAGGAGGUGUGGACAACAGUUUGGCUUCCCUGGCCCUAGGACCAAGUAUGCUCACCAUUGAAGAGACCAGGAUCCUGCUCUUCUUUUCACCAUUACAGAUCAGGUUCUAUAAAGUUGAUAUUGCUUAAAAUUUGCCAUAGUUUACCCAAGCUUUUGAGUGCUAUCUCUUUAUUCCAUGGCUUGGUUUCAAUUUCCCAUGUGCAAACAUAUAGAUUGGUGACACAAACAGCUGCCUUAAGUGAGAUAUUCUACAGGUACACACUGACAUUAGUUCCAGACAAGCGUUUGAAACUAUUUCCCAAUCCUACUACCAUUCAAUUCUUUAAUUAGAAAUGAAUGAAAUUCCAACCACAUACUCACAAAACAAGUUCUUACCACUUGCCCCUCCCAACUAUCUCAUCUUAAAUCCAGAAUAUGUUACCCUCACUGUAGGUGCUGUUGAAAAUGGCUUCCAAAGCUGAAUCAUUUCCAUCUCAGCCAUAACACCUACAGUCACAGCACAUAGAUCAAAAAUAUUAUCUGAAUAUCUGUACAUGACUUUACGCCUUGCCAGCAGCAGUAGAGGUAGGUUUAGAAUCUCAUGAUGUGAUGGUACCAAUCUCUGUACUUUAUACUCAUAUACAUUAUGACCAGAAUGACUCAGCAUGUAUGGUGACUCACCAUUUUUAGCAGCACCAUGGAUGAUUCAUCAUUUUCAGCUGCAGUUUGAUGUCUUCUGGAUUUAAGUUGGUGUCUUUGAGCUGAGUUAGCUAUUAAACAACUUGUUGAAAAGUUGAAGGACAACUAGAUAAGGACCAGUAUGAUAUAAGCAUUGGGUAGAGUUGUAAGAGCCCCCACCUGGCAGUUAAAAUCCAUGCUUGGCCAUAAUGUGAGCUGGGAAGCCUUGGCCCACUGCAGUUUUUUGCUCAGUAAGACACUAGAUUAAUACA